GAAAUGCGAUAAGUAAUGUGAAUUGCAGAAUUCAGUGAAUCAUCGAAUCUUUGAACGCACAUUGCGCCCGCCAGUAUUCUGGCGGGCAUGCCUGUUCGAGCGUCAUUUCAACCAUCAAGCCCCCGGGCUUGUGUUGGGGACCUGCGGCUGCCGCAGGCCCCGAAAACUAGUGGCGGGCUCGCUGUCACACCGGGCGUAGUAGAUUUUUCGUCUCGCCCAGGGCGUGCUGCGGGUUCCGGCCGUUAAAAAGCCUCUCUUUUAACCCAAGGUUGACCUCGGAUCAGGUAGGAAGACCCGCUGAACUUAAGC
This 309-nucleotide unclassified non-coding RNA is filed under the name plant metagenome. Its description in RNAcentral is "partial contains 5.8S ribosomal RNA, internal transcribed spacer 2, and large subunit ribosomal RNA". The stretch from base 1 to 105 matches the Rfam family "5.8S ribosomal RNA", at positions 50 to 154 of the family's 154-position model. The record is from RNAcentral.